Molecule: long non-coding RNA, 3617 nt
Filed under: Pandoravirus celtis
Description: hypothetical ncRNA
Source: RNAcentral
CGCCGGUCCUGCGGCGCGCGCCGACGUGGCGAGGCCCUGUGCGGCCGCCACUGUCACGCCAUCGUCAGACGUCUGGGUCCAGUAAAAGGCAUCAACGAGGCCGGCCGCCUUGGCACAGUCGGGCGUCGUCUCACGGUGCAUGUAGGCAUGGUGCCACCCGAGAAUGGGCCAGGCGCCAGCAGUCGCCGCACCCACCAUCAUCGUGGGCAGGCCGGCAAAGGGGAGGGUCGCAUUGGCCCUUGGCGCAUGCGAUGAUGACCGCGGUAGAGAUGAUGAUGUUGAUGAUGUCAUUGGGGAAUAGGCCGUGGCACGACGCGCAGGACUGCGGGCAACAAAGUCGUCGAGAACAAAGUCGGCCGUGGCCAGGGCCAAGGCAUCGGCCUUGGGCGACACGCGGUUGCCGUUGGCGUCGCGCAGGUCGGCCACGCUCGGAUUGCGCGCCGCGAGGGCGGCCUCGAUGGCAUCAACGCCCACCGAAUAGAGCGUGGCUUUGACGGCCGCGGCGACGUGAUCCCCGGCCACAAGAAUGCGCGCGGGCGCCGACGAUUCAAGGGGGUAGACAAUCGAGGCGAGCCCUGUCGUCGUCGCCGAUCCAUUGAGCACCUCGGCACGAAAUGCGGCAUCGGCCGCCAUGUACUCGGCGGCAAAGCGGUUGGCCACGCCGCCGAGCGGGCCGCCGGCGCCCGAUGCCGUGCCGCCCUUGGCCAGCGCGACGAUGAUCUGGCGGCCGGGCAAGAGUUCGGCGAGCGACGGGUUGGCUGCCACAAUGUCCACGUGGUUCCACACGUCGAUACGACCCAGGAAGAUGCCGGCCAAGAGGUUGGCGUCCAAGAGCAGGGACACCCCCGCACGCGCAAUCUCGGGCACAUUGUAGAUGGCGGCAUAGGGUCGCACGGCCAUCGGCACCGACAUGCAGUCGACACAGGCCGCCGCCAGUACGGGCGUCAGAUCGGUGGCACCCGCCGACGUCACGGCAAAGUCGACGCCAUACAAGGCGAGUCGCGAGAUGGCCUCGUCCUCGCCGUCCUCGGCCAACUUGAGGCGCGUGGCAGAGGCGGCGCCCACACGAGACGCAUAGGCCUGCAUCCAGCCCGACCACACGAGCGACGUCGUGCCGGCACCGACGAGGGCGGCCGCCGCGACGCGUGUCGUGCCCGUGGCGGCAGCGGUCACGGCAGUGGUCGUGCCCGUGGCGGCAGCGGUCACGGCAGUGGUCGUGCCCGUGAUAGUGGCAGUGGUCGUACGGGUAUCUUGUGUGGCUCCAUCCAUUGGGUCGGCCUCGGUGGUUCCAUUGAAAAGAGUCGACGACGAGGACGAGGAUGGGACCAUGUCGCCCGACGAUCCAGAGGAAGAAAAAGAGCCACAGAGCGAAAUGGCGCCCAUCAUGUCGGUGGCCCGCUGGCGAAAGUUGCUCGACAGUGGAACCAGGCCGCGCGAGGCCAGCGUGGCCGCCAGCGCGCCGUCGUUGAUUUCGAGCCAGGCGAGAAAGUCGAGCGCGGCCUCGGCAUACUGACAGUCGUAACCGGCCGGGAUUGCGUCUGUGCGCAACACCGCCGUAACGAGACCCACGACGGGCCACGUGUUGGGGUCGUCCAAGUUGGACAGGCCCACACGCCCGUGUUGUAGGGGAUGUUGCGCAGGGCGAGUGCGUCAUAGGUAUUCAGGGCUGCAUGCGCGGCCGAAGGCAUCCAGCCGAAAAAGAACCGGCCGGCGCGGUUGGUGAGCAUGGGCCGCAUGUACGGAGCCGUCGCCGGGUCGCCUCCUAUCGUGUACGCAAUGACGCCGUCGCCCGAUGCCAAGGCCGCCGUGGUCGACGCAAAGAGGCGCGCACCCGUUACGGGAUCGUAGACGGGACCGGAAGGCGUCGUCCCGGCGGGCACAACGACCGACCAGGUCACGGGAUCGACCAGGAGGGUGCGGUUGAUGCCCGCCGUGGCCAAGACGAGAGCGGCGAGGUCACCGCCGUGGGCAGCAUACGCAUCGGCAAAGGCCGGACUGGCCGACGAUAGGGCCUGCGCAAAGGUGGCGCCGAGCGAGGCCGCCUCGGUUUCGAGAGAUCCGGUGGGAAAGCGCUCGACGGCAAUGAGGACCUCGCCCGGCGGUAGCAUGUCGGGCGUGGCGCCGCUGCCGGCCCCAAAGGCCGGGUCGUCCCAGCGCGUGAUCGUACCCGCCCACACGGCGGCAAAUAGGGGCAGGCCGUCAAAGAUGACCAUGGACGAACCGCCGGCAAACGAAUAGACAACCUCGACGCCAUAGGCCGCCACGGGCAACUGUACGCGCCCGGCCAGCGCACGCGGGACCUGCGCGGCCAAGAGCACGGCGUCGCAUCGACCCGAGUCAUAGUCGGCCAUCGCCGUGGCGGCGUCGGUGCCGAGACGCUGGACGGCCACGUCGUCGACUGUAAAGACAUAGGCCGAGGCCACGACGUCGAGGGCGUCGCCGCCCACUGCGGUGCCCUCAAACAGCAGGGUCUUGGUGGGCGUCACGGGCAGAAUCGACGUGUCGUCGGUCUGGUCAAGAGGCAGGCAUACGGGGUCGGCGAUGACCGCCCUGGACGCCAGCGCCAACAACAAUAGCACCAAGACUGCCAUAGAGGCCUAGAAGAAGAUGCAAUCCACGCCACCGCAGACAAAAAACACCGACGUUGGGAUCAGGGAACCAAGGGCCAGCGGCGGACAGGCGCGCAAGCAACGAACGGGGGCAGCGACGUACCCAGAGGAUGCGGCAACGAGAGAAGAGCAUGUCGCCAGAGUGGCGACGCGUCAAGGGCACGGUCAUUGUAAUGUGUGAUCGAUCCCGUGCGGUCGGACGAUGGCGAUGGCGGUGACGGGGAUAAAGGUGGGGGUAAUAGUACAGACAAACACGGAACCUCGCAGUAGGAUCAGUAUUCUUGGCGUCGAUUCCGGUGUCGUCGCGUGUAUGUGUGUGGGUUGUGCGCAAGAGAGGCCGACAGACUCUAAAAAAAGGAGGAGACGACAAGCAAGGAAGGGUAUAUGUCGUCUGUCUGUGCCUGUGCGUGCAUACUGGAGGCAGACCACGCGGCCGCGCCUUUAUGGACCACACAACCCUAUGGGCUCGUCCAAUCCGCACCGUCUAUCCCUUUUUGGCCACACAAAUAGCACCAGGGUUCGUCGGCUCGAAGCAACAGUUGGACUGCUACGGUCUGUUUUCACGCCGGCAUACGGAACUCGAUCGGGGUGUCUGAUCGUGUGGCGGGACACGCAGCGGUUGCCAGCCGACGGUGGUUUUGUCGAUUUCGCGCUCUCUUCCGAUACGACAGCCUCUGCACGUGGGCCUUGACCCCCUACCCCAAACCCUGGGCAAAAGAAUGGUCCCCCUAUUUUGUCUCAUCACCAUACGCGCACUACCGCUCCCCCCUUUUUUCCUCGGUGGCGACAACCACGCGCAGGCGGCCGCCCCCCCCCUCACAAUGCCCGCGACUACAGUACCCGCGACCGCGAAAAGAGAAAGAAAAAGGCCAACAAGAAAAGAAUCUGUCUCCUUGUUUUUUUCAACUAUAUUUUUUAACGGGACAAUUCUUUUUUUUUUCUUUUUUUGUUUGUCGUCGCCUUGUCGUCCCGGCGCGGUUUCGAUCGUCGAAAAAAUAAGAUAAAAAU